ACCGGCGCACGGGUGAGUAACGCGUAUGUAAUCUGCCCUGUACAAAGGGAUAACCCGGAGAAAUCCGGCCUAAUACCUUAUAAUUUUUAUAUUGGGCAUCCAGUAUAAAUUAAAGGAGCAAUCCGGUACAGGAUGGGCAUGCGUAUCAUUAGCUAGUAGGUAGGGUAACGGCUUACCUAGGCGACGAUGAUUAGGGGUUCUGAGAGGAUAAUCCCCCACACCGGGACUGAGACACGGCCCGG
This 242-nucleotide ribosomal RNA is filed under the name uncultured bacterium. RNAcentral's name for it is "partial 16S ribosomal RNA". It matches the Rfam family "Bacterial small subunit ribosomal RNA", at positions 94 to 334 of the family's 1533-position model. The record is from RNAcentral.